GUAGGGAAUAUUGCACAAUGGGCGAAAGCCUGAUGCAGCAACGCCGCGUGCACGAUGAAGGCCUUCGGGUCGUAAAGUGCUUUUCUGUAGGACGAGAGAGGACGGUACUGCAGGAAUAAGGAUCGGCUAACUACGUGCCAGCAGCCGCGGUAACACGUAGGAUCCGAGCGUUAUCCGAAUUCACUGGGCGUAAAGCGCUUGCAGGCGGCUGGGUAAGUUGGAUGUAAAAUCUUCUGGCUCAACUGGGAGAUGCCGUUCAAGACUGCCUGGCUAGAGGGCGAUAGAGGGAGGUGGAAUUCCCGGUGUAGUGGUGAAAUGCGUAGAUAUCGGGAGGAACACCAGAGGCGAAAGCGGCCUCCUGGAUCGCAACUGACGCUGAGAAGCGAAAGCUAGGGGAGCAAACGGGAUUAGAAACCCUAGUAGUCC
Molecule: ribosomal RNA, 426 nt
Filed under: uncultured bacterium
Lineage: Bacteria
Description: bacterial SSU rRNA
Rfam family: Bacterial small subunit ribosomal RNA
Source: RNAcentral